AGCUGUGACGAGCAUCGCUUUCUUCUGACACCUCUUGUAUGAGAAGUGCGCCCCACUCUCUCGAGAGAGGCACCCUUCGUUGAGCAGAGUAUAGCAACUGUCUGAGCU
Molecule: small nucleolar RNA, 108 nt
Organism: Triticum dicoccoides
Lineage: Eukaryota; Viridiplantae; Streptophyta; Magnoliopsida; Poales; Poaceae
Product: small nucleolar RNA snoR1
Exons: 1
Source: RefSeq, a predicted model, not a curated record